This 70-nucleotide transfer RNA is filed under the name Loxodonta africana (African savanna elephant). It matches the Rfam family "tRNA". Rfam says of the family: Transfer RNA (tRNA) molecules are approximately 80 nucleotides in length. Their secondary structure includes four short double-helical elements and three loops (D, anti-codon, and T loops). Lineage: Eukaryota; Metazoa; Chordata; Mammalia; Proboscidea; Elephantidae. The record is from Rfam by way of RNAcentral.
GCAUUGGUGGUUCAGGGAUAGAAUUCUCGCCUCCCAUGUGAGAGACCCUGGUUCAAUUCCAGCCAGUCCA